This 760-nucleotide ribosomal RNA is filed under the name Brachybacterium sp. HBUM178439. RNAcentral describes it as "bacterial SSU rRNA". It matches the Rfam family "Bacterial small subunit ribosomal RNA", at positions 36 to 808 of the family's 1533-position model. The record is from RNAcentral. Lineage: Bacteria; Bacillati; Actinomycetota; Actinomycetes; Micrococcales; Dermabacteraceae.
CUGGGGGGUGCUUACACAUGCAAGUCGAACGAUGACGACCGAGCUUGCUCGGUCUGAUUAGUGGCGAACGGGUGAGUAACACGUGAGCAACCUGCCCUUCACUCUGGGAUAACCUCGGGAAAUCGGGGCUAAUACCGGAUAUGAGCUCCUGUCGCAUGGCGGGGGUUGGAAAGUUUUUCGGUGAAGGAUGGGCUCGCGGCCUAUCAGUUUGUUGGUGAGGUAGUGGCUCACCAAGGCGAUGACGGGUAGCCGGCCUGAGAGGGCGACCGGCCACACUGGGACUGAGACACGGCCCAGACUCCUACGGGAGGCAGCAGUGGGGAAUAUUGCACAAUGGGCGAAAGCCUGAUGCAGCGACGCCGCGUGAGGGAUGACGGCCUUCGGGUUGUAAACCUCUUUCAGCAGGGAAGAAGCGAAAGUGACGGUACCUGCAGAAGAAGCGCCGGCUAACUACGUGCCAGCAGCCGCGGUAAUACGUAGGGCGCAAGCGUUGUCCGGAAUUAUUGGGCGUAAAGAGCUUGUAGGUGGCUUGUCGCGUCUGCCGUGAAAACCCGAGGCUCAACCUCGGGCGUGCGGUGGGUACGGGCAGGCUAGAGUGUGGUAGGGGAGACUGGAACUCCUGGUGUAGCGGUGAAAUGCGCAGAUAUCAGGAAGAACACCGAUGGCGAAGGCAGGUCUCUGGGCCAUUACUGACACUGAGAAGCGAAAGCAUGGGGGAGCGAACAGGAUUAGAUACCCUGGUAGUCCCAUGCCGUAAAAC